Molecule: ribosomal RNA, 398 nt
Filed under: uncultured bacterium
Lineage: Bacteria
Description: bacterial SSU rRNA
Rfam family: Bacterial small subunit ribosomal RNA
Source: RNAcentral
AUGUUGCACAAUGGGGGAAACCCUGAUGCAGCGACGCCGCGUGAGUGAAGAAGUAUUUCGGUAUGUAAAGCUCUAUCCGCAGGGACGAAAAUGACGGUACCUGAGUAAGAAGCCCCGGCCAACUACGUGCCAGCAGCCGCGGUAAUACGUAGGGGGCAAGCGUUAUCCGGAUUUACUGGGUGUAAAGGGGGCGUAGACGGUCAUGGAAGUCUGGAGUGAAAGGCGGGGGCUCAACCCCCGGACUGCUGUGGAAACUGUAGAACUAGAGUGCAGGAGGGGUAAGUGGAAUUCCUAGUGUAGCGGUGAAAUGCGUAGAUAUUAGGAGGAACACCAGUGGCGAAGGCGGCUUACUGGACUGUAACUGACGUUGAGGCUCGAAAGCGUGGGGAGCAAACAGG